UACGGAGGGUGCAAGCAUUGAUCGGAAUUACUGGGCGUAAAGGGCGCGUAGGCGGCUUGAUAAGUCAGAUGUGAAAUUCCACGGCUCAACCGUGGAGCUGCAUUUGAAACUGUCUGGCUAGAGCAUAGUUAGGGAAAACGGAAUUCCACGUGUAGCGGUGAAAUGCGUAGAUAUGUGGAAGAACACCAGUGGUGAAGACGGUUUUCUGGGCUAUAGCUGACGCUGAGGCGCGAGAGCUAGGGGAGCAAACAGG
This 253-nucleotide ribosomal RNA is filed under the name uncultured bacterium. Its description in RNAcentral is "partial 16S ribosomal RNA". It matches the Rfam family "Bacterial small subunit ribosomal RNA", at positions 524 to 776 of the family's 1533-position model. The record is from RNAcentral.